Molecule: ribosomal RNA, 419 nt
Filed under: uncultured bacterium
Lineage: Bacteria
Description: bacterial SSU rRNA
Rfam family: Bacterial small subunit ribosomal RNA
Source: RNAcentral
AUUGUUCACAAUGGGCGCAAGCCUGAUGACGCAACGCCGCGUGGAGGAUGAAGGUCUUCGGAUUGUAAACUCCUGUUGCUCGGGACGAAAAGCCUCGACCUAAUACGUCGAGGUCUGACGGUACCGAGUGAGGAAGCCCCGGCUAACUCCGUGCCAGCAGCCGCGGUAAUACGGGGGGGGCAAGCGUUGUUCGGAAUUACUGGGCGUAAAGGGCUCGUAGGCGGCCAACUAAGUCACACGUGAAAUCCCUCGGCUCAACCGGGGAACUGCGUGUGAGACUGGAUGGCUUGAGUUUGGGAGAGGAAUGCGGAAUUCCAGGUGUAGCGGUGAAAUGCGUAGAUAUCUGGAGGAACACCGGUGGCGAAGGCGGCAUCCUGGACCGGCAUUGACGCUGAGGAGCGAAAGCUAGGGGAGCAAAC